Long non-coding RNA from Salvia miltiorrhiza (redroot sage), 925 nucleotides. RefSeq lists it as uncharacterized. The transcript is spliced from 2 exons. Lineage: Eukaryota; Viridiplantae; Streptophyta; Magnoliopsida; Lamiales; Lamiaceae. The record is from RefSeq and is a predicted model, not a curated record.
CCUUGAUAGCCUACUUGAUAGUGGUUGUGUUAUUGAGUAGGUAGUGCUGCAUUGGGGUUCCUUGAUAGCCUACUUGAUUUUUUUAGUUUUUAAAGAGGAGAGAGAAAUUUUUAAAAAGGAGAAGAGAAUUAAAAAAAUAGAAAAAAAAAAAAAGAAAAUCACUCGAGCAUACUCGAAAACUCGAGUAGCACUCGAGUAGCUCCUCCCUGCAACGCCUACUCGAGUGCAAUACUCGAGUUCGAGUAAGGCAUCGAGGAUGCCGUUGCCAAUGCUCUUAGAUCUAACUAAUCCAAUGGCUACAAAUAAAACGAAUAAAAUAUAUAAAAAGGAAAAAGAAACGCGUUAACAUUAAAGAGCUCCGAUUUUUUACAGUGCAAGGGUGAAAAACGUAAAAUACACAUCUCUGUAAAUCAGGAAGAUUCCAUGAUUUCCGACUUUCUCUCUGCCAAAUCUUCACGAUGAUUCGCGUGUAGAAUUGGGUUGAAAUUCAGACGACUCAUAUCUUCUCCACUAAGAAUCGAAAAUCUGUGAAGAAUUAUCCUUCGGAAUCGAAGAACAACCUGGUUUGUUCAAUUUCUGGGGAAACGAAACGCGAAAUCGAAAGAAGAAUUUGGGUUUGAAACCGAGGGAUUUCUGCGUUUGAGUGGAAGGGUUGAGUUCUUGAAGAAUGAGUUGGAGAGGUUGGUCGGUGGAUAUGUCUUGGGCUGCAGCUCUGUUGAUCACAAUCCAGUUUAAGAAGAUGGAAAGAGAGUUCUGGACCUUCUGGUUGGCACCUGCAUUUGGAGGCCAAAUUUUACAAUAAAAUAUAUAUAUUCACUUUAUAAAAAAAAAUUGUAUUCUAUUCAAUAAAAAUUAUGUUAUGUUCAUUGUAAAAUUGAGAUUAUUCGUUAUAUAAUAUAUUUAUGAAUGGUAUACUUUAUUUUUA